Danio rerio (zebrafish) is the source of this 767-nucleotide long non-coding RNA. NCBI's taxonomy places the organism in Eukaryota, Metazoa, Chordata, Actinopteri, Cypriniformes, Danionidae. The record is from RefSeq and is marked validated.
AGACUGGAGACGGAAGUCUAGAUACAGAUGCAACGUUACUUUGUAAACUUUAGGACAACAUGCUUCGGUGUGGAGCUUUUCAUGUUUAUAACAUUUACUUACGUUUAAUAAACAAGUGCUUAUUCGUUUAAUUUGAAAUGCACAUAGUUUUCAAGAUAGCCUGAUAAAGCUGUGGUAGUAAGUAAAUUAAGCGAUGGAAAAGCCGGAUGAAGCCGCAGUCGGUGUGCAGGAGUCUGCAGAAGCAGAGGGGCCGCAGUCUCUCUCUUUUCCAGAGGUUUUCCGCAGGAUUCAAGCGGGAGAGGAAGUUCCCGGACUCCAGAAGCUGGAUAUCAAGCCUUGCCACGACCAGCCCACGGUUUCUCAGAUGCCCAGAAAAACAAAACCAUGGGAAAAAUAACUUGUGCCUCAAAAUUAUAACACGCGGACUGGUUUAUCUCUUGUAAAGUAAAACAUUUUGUAUUAUUUUACACUAAUGAAUAGCAGAUCUGUGGAUAUACGUGUAAGAUAAUACAUGCUACUUUAAGAUUUAGCAUCAAAACCUGCCUGAUACCUACAACUUUAAAAGGUUCACGCCAAAAUAAAAACGUUUGGCUCGUUUGACCAUUCAAGAUGUAUGAAAGUUUUUUUCUUAGUUUAGUAUAUUUUGAAAAAUGUUCAAAACCUGUAUCCUUCAACUUUCUUCGCAUUUGUUUUAUUGAUGUAAAUGGUUGGAUUUUUCCAACAAUUAUCUUUUGUGUAACGGAAUACAAAACAAUGAUUUGGAGCAA